GAGUUCAUGGCAGUCUCAUGCACCGGAAGAGGCGAGGCUGGACCAUGCAAGCAGCGAGUGCGCAUGAAGAGAAACGGAACGAAUUUCCAUGCUCUUAUGCGCAUCAUGCGUGAAACGGAACGCACCCUUCGAACAAUAGAUAUUCUCUUUAAUUACAUAUUUUCAUAGAUUAUAUAUAUAUAGGAUUAGUUUCUAAUAUUUGUGAAUUACGUAUAUCUGGUUUCUUAGCAACCGAUAAAACAAUAAGAUAGUUUGUUUUAUUUUUCAGCAACGAUCGUAAUGUGAUGGACGGAUUCACUUUAUCAAGAAUUUCAAAAAUGUUGUUCCUAAGAAAUGUACAAAAGAUUCGUUUUUACGAUACUCCAUUAUUACGAAGAUCAUUCAAUACAAAUCAAAGACGCUUCUUCUACGAGGACGACAGCAAGGCGUUUCACAACUUUAAAUUGAAGCAAGCAAAGAUGCAGUGCGACGAUGACCUUCCUGUCUAUUUAAAGUGCGGCGCACGUGAUAAAAUAUUAUUUAACUUUACAAUAGGUUUGCUUUUAUGUAACACCCUUGCAACGCUUUAUGGAGUCAAGGAAAUGUUCAGACAAUUUUAAUCUU
Cataglyphis hispanica is the source of this 603-nucleotide long non-coding RNA. RefSeq lists it as uncharacterized. The transcript has 3 exons. The record is from RefSeq and is a predicted model, not a curated record. NCBI's taxonomy places the organism in Eukaryota, Metazoa, Arthropoda, Insecta, Hymenoptera, Formicidae.